CCAGCAGCCGCGGUAAUUCCAGCUCCAAUAGCGUAUAUUAAAGUUGUUGCAGUUAAAAAGCUCGUAGUUGGAUCUCGGGCGCAGGCGGGCGGUCCGGCUCGCGCUGGAUUGCCGCCCGUUAACCUGCCCCACCCCUGCCGGCUCCCUCGCGGCGGUGUUCUUCGUUGAGCGUCCCGCGUGGCCGGCGCGUUUACUUUGAAAAAAUUAGAGUGUUCAAGGCGGGCCUGCCGAGCCCGAAUAACUGCGCAUGGAAUAAUGGAAUAGGACCUCGGUUCUAUUUUGUUGGUUUUCGGAAUCCGAGGUAAUGAUUGACGGGGACAAACGGGGGCAUUCGUAUUGCGGCGUUAGAGGUGAAAUUCUUGGAUCGCCGCAAGACGGGCUACUGCGAAAGC
RNAcentral lists this ribosomal RNA (392 nucleotides) under Onchidoris muricata. Its description in RNAcentral is "SSU rRNA". It matches the Rfam family "Eukaryotic small subunit ribosomal RNA", at positions 567 to 952 of the family's 1831-position model. The record is from RNAcentral. Lineage: Eukaryota; Metazoa; Mollusca; Gastropoda; Nudibranchia; Onchidorididae.